GAUGAGAUGAGAAAUUUUAAACAAUAGUUAAGAUUAGCUGAUGUUGGUGAAAAUAUCUUUUGAAAGAAAGUUAAGUGUGUUCAAAAACAGAUCAAGGUAGGAGAGCGGUUCCUAUAUUUUUUCAAUAUAAAAGAUUCGGUUUUUAAAACAGUAACAGUGCAAGCGUAGUCUGCGCACAUCUGCACCAACUUGAUAACUGAUCAUACAAGCUACAUUUAUGUACGUCGUAGUAUAGAAAUUCUUUUCACAUUAAUCGCUGAUAUACGCUUUCGUAAUUCAAUGACAAUGCUCGUUCUUUACUUAACUCAUGUGGCUUCAAUUAUGCUAGUACAUAUGUACAUAUUUCAUCAAAAGCGAAAGCUUCAAAUAAAAGACAAUAUGAUAAAAUAUAAAUUCUAAAGAUGACGAACGAUCAUGAAAUGUACAACAAUGCUAU
Molecule: long non-coding RNA, 436 nt
Filed under: Mytilus galloprovincialis (Mediterranean mussel)
Lineage: Eukaryota; Metazoa; Mollusca; Bivalvia; Mytilida; Mytilidae
Source: RNAcentral